GGAGGGUGAGCAUCAGGUGAUGUAGUCCGGUUGCUAACCGGAUACGGAUUCCCCCCGUCUGGUUCGAGUCCAGCACCCUCCG
RNAcentral lists this transfer RNA (82 nucleotides) under Actinomycetes bacterium. RNAcentral's name for it is "tRNA-Ser". Lineage: Bacteria; Bacillati; Actinomycetota; Actinomycetes. The record is from RNAcentral.